ACGGUGCCUAUGAUGUGUUUAAAUAUACUUUGAGUUUAACUAUGAAAUGGAAGGUAUGCGAGGCACUUU
RNAcentral lists this small nucleolar RNA (69 nucleotides) under Amborella trichopoda. The record is from RNAcentral. Lineage: Eukaryota; Viridiplantae; Streptophyta; Magnoliopsida; Amborellales; Amborellaceae.